This 254-nucleotide ribosomal RNA is filed under the name uncultured bacterium. RNAcentral's name for it is "partial 16S ribosomal RNA". It matches the Rfam family "Bacterial small subunit ribosomal RNA", at positions 524 to 776 of the family's 1533-position model. The record is from RNAcentral.
UACGUAGGGUGCAAGCGUUAAUCGGAAUUACUGGGCGUAAAGCGUGCGCAGGCGGUUAUGUAAGACAGUUGUGAAAUCCCCGGGCUCAACCUGGGAAUUGCGAUGAAGACUGCAAGGCUCGAAUCUGGCAGAGGGGGGUAGAAGUUCCACGUGUAGCAGUGAAAUGCGUAGAGAUGUGGAGGAACACCGAUGGCGAAGGCAGCCCCCUGGGUCAAGAUUGACGCUCAUGCACGAAAGCGUGGGGAGCAAACAGG